Molecule: transfer RNA, 76 nt
Filed under: Rhinogobius sp. HN-2022
Lineage: Eukaryota; Metazoa; Chordata; Actinopteri; Gobiiformes; Gobiidae
Description: tRNA-Lys
Source: RNAcentral
AACUAAGAAGCUAAACCGGACCCCCAGCGUCAGCCUUUUAAGCUGAAGAUAGGUGCCUUCCAACCACCCCUAGCGG